RNAcentral lists this transfer-messenger RNA (368 nucleotides) under Vagococcus humatus. It matches the Rfam family "transfer-messenger RNA". Rfam says of the family: Bacterial tmRNA, also known as 10Sa RNA or SsrA, is named for its dual tRNA and mRNA-like properties. Its role is to liberate the mRNA from a stalled ribosome. To accomplish this part of the tmRNA is used as a reading frame that ends in a translation stop signal. RNAcentral also lists the same sequence under 1 other name. The record is from Rfam by way of RNAcentral. Lineage: Bacteria; Bacillati; Bacillota; Bacilli; Lactobacillales; Enterococcaceae.
GGGGGCGUUACGGAUUCGACAGGUAUAGUUCGAGCUUGAAUAGCGCUUCGUAGGUUGCGACUACGUAAAAACGCUCAGUUAAAUAUAACUGCAAAAAACGAAAACAACUCUUUCGCUUUAGCUGCCUAAUAAGUAGUUAGCGAAGAUCCUCCUGGCAUCGCCCAUGUGCUCAGGUAAGGGUCUCAAACUCAGUGGGAUACAUCAGGUGUUUCCGUCUGCAAUGCCUGAAAGAGAUUAUCAGACUAGCAACCUUUAAAGCCCGUCAUGCGGCGAUACAGGGAGCGAAACUUUAAGUAGCAUGUCUAUAAGCGUAGAAUUUCAGGGGGCGAUAUGCUUGGACGCGGGUUCGACUCCCGCCGCCUCCAUUU